This 63-nucleotide transfer RNA is filed under the name Brevicoryne brassicae (cabbage aphid). Its description in RNAcentral is "tRNA-Asp". Lineage: Eukaryota; Metazoa; Arthropoda; Insecta; Hemiptera; Aphididae. The record is from RNAcentral.
AAGAGAUUAGUUAAAACUAUAACAUUAAUUUGUCAAAUUAAAAUUAUUAAUUAAUAUCACUUA